GAUGAAGAACGUAGCGAAAUGCGAUAAGUAAUGUGAAUUGCAGAAUUCAGUGAAUCAUCGAAUCUUUGAACGCACAUUGCGCCCGCCAGUAUUCUGGCGAGCAUGCCUGUUCGAGCGUCAUUUCAACCAUCAAGCCCCAGGCUUGUGUUGGAGCCCUGCGGCUGCCGCAGCCUCCCAAAACCAGUGGCGGGCUCGCUAUCACACCGAGUGCAGUAGUUUGCUCUUCGCUCAGGGCGUGUGGCGGGUGCUAGCCGUGAAACCCCCAACUUCUCAAGGUUGACCUCGGAUCAGGUAGGAAUACCCGCUGAACUUAAGCAUAUCAAUAAGCGGAGGA
RNAcentral lists this unclassified non-coding RNA (334 nucleotides) under soil metagenome. RNAcentral's name for it is "partial contains 5.8S ribosomal RNA, internal transcribed spacer 2, and large subunit ribosomal RNA". The stretch from base 1 to 120 matches the Rfam family "5.8S ribosomal RNA", at positions 35 to 154 of the family's 154-position model. The record is from RNAcentral.